This 718-nucleotide ribosomal RNA is filed under the name uncultured bacterium. RNAcentral's name for it is "bacterial SSU rRNA". It matches the Rfam family "Bacterial small subunit ribosomal RNA", at positions 45 to 758 of the family's 1533-position model. The record is from RNAcentral.
GGCCUAACACAUGCAAGUCGAGCGGUAGAGAGAAGCUUGCUUCUCUUGAGAGCGGCGGACGGGUGAGUAAUGCCUAGGAAUCUGCCUGGUAGUGGGGGAUAACGUUCGGAAACGGACGCUAAUACCGCAUACGUCCUACGGGAGAAAGCAGGGGACCUUCGGGCCUUGCGCUAUCAGAUGAGCCUAGGUCGGAUUAGCUAGUUGGUGAGGUAAUGGCUCACCAAGGCGACGAUCCGUAACUGGUCUGAGAGGAUGAUCAGUCACACUGGAACUGAGACACGGUCCAGACUCCUACGGGAGGCAGCAGUGGGGAAUAUUGGACAAUGGGCGAAAGCCUGAUCCAGCCAUGCCGCGUGUGUGAAGAAGGUCUUCGGAUUGUAAAGCACUUUAAGUUGGGAGGAAGGGUUGUAGAUUAAUACUCUGCAAUUUUGACGUUACCGACAGAAUAAGCACCGGCUAACUCUGUGCCAGCAGCCGCGGUAAUACAGAGGGUGCAAGCGUUAAUCGGAAUUACUGGGCGUAAAGCGCGCGUAGGUGGUUUGUUAAGUUGGAUGUGAAAUCCCCGGGCUCAACCUGGGAACUGCAUUCAAAACUGACUGACUAGAGUAUGGUAGAGGGUGGUGGAAUUUCCUGUGUAGCGGUGAAAUGCGUAGAUAUAGGAAGGAACACCAGUGGCGAAGGCGACCACCUGGACUAAUACUGACACUGAGGUGCGAAA